Molecule: ribosomal RNA, 463 nt
Filed under: uncultured bacterium
Lineage: Bacteria
Description: bacterial SSU rRNA
Rfam family: Bacterial small subunit ribosomal RNA
Source: RNAcentral
GUCGAACGGCAGCACGGAGCUUGCUCUGGUGGCGAGUGGCGAACGGGUGAGUAAUAUAUCGGAACGUACCCUGGAGUGGGGGAUAACGUAGCGAAAGUUACGCUAAUACCGCAUACGAUCUAAGGAUGAAAGUGGGGGAUCGCAAGACCUCAUGCUCGUGGAGCGGCCGAUAUCUGAUUAGCUAGUUGGUAGGGUAAUAGCCUACCAAGGCAUCGAUCAGUAGCUGGUCUGAGAGGACGACCAGCCACACUGGAACUGAGACACGGUCCAGACUCCUACGGGAGGCAGCAGUGAGGAAUAUUGGGCAAUGCCCGAAAGGGUGACCCAGCAACGCCGCGUGGAGGAUGAAUGCCGUAAGGUUGUAAACUCCUGUUGGAGGGGAAGAAAAAUUCCGAUCAAAUCGGAAACUGACUGUACCCUCAGAGAAAGCCCCGGCUAACUACGUGCCAGCAGCCGCGGUAAU